GGAUGUGAGGGUGAUGUGGCUGUAACAUCUGCCAUCCCAUUGAUCACCAGGGCUGAUUUGGCUGAUCUGACUGGAUAGGCAGGUGCCCCCUUCCUCCCUCACCAUUCCAUGUAUGUUCCUCCGGAUGCUGCUAGCUUGGUCAAAGAGGAAGACUAUCCCCUCUAGAGAAGGAUCAUUCUUCGGUCAAGGGUGUACAAGUAGCUGUGCACUCUGCUAGAGCCUCCAAACAGGCUCUCAAGUUACAUGUUCACUUAGAGAUAAUUGUAAAGAUCUUACCAUGAAUAGUUUCACCAAUACUUUUGUUAGAUGCUAAUUUACAGU
RNAcentral lists this small nuclear RNA (321 nucleotides) under Carlito syrichta (Philippine tarsier). RNAcentral's name for it is "7SK RNA (ENSTSYG00000023395.2)". It matches the Rfam family "7SK RNA". From Rfam's summary of the family: 7SK was discovered as an abundant small nuclear RNA in the mid-70s but a possible function has only recently been suggested. Two independent studies have found that 7SK RNA binds the CDK9/cyclin T complex (known as elongation factor P-TEFb). Lineage: Eukaryota; Metazoa; Chordata; Mammalia; Primates; Tarsiidae. The record is from Rfam by way of RNAcentral.